This 253-nucleotide ribosomal RNA is filed under the name uncultured bacterium. Its description in RNAcentral is "partial 16S ribosomal RNA". It matches the Rfam family "Bacterial small subunit ribosomal RNA", at positions 524 to 776 of the family's 1533-position model. The record is from RNAcentral.
GACGAACCACCCAAACGUUAUUCGGAAUUACUGGGCUUAAAGGGUGCGUAGGCUGUGCGGUAAGUUGGGUGUGAAAUACCUCAGCUUAACUGAGGAAUGGCGCUCAAAACUACCGUGCUCGAGGGAGAUAGAGGUGAGCGGAACUUAGGGUGGAGCGGUGAAAUGUGUUGAUAUCCUAAGGAACACCGGUGGCGAAAGCGGCUCACUGGAUCUCUUCUGACGCUGAUGCACGAAAGCUAGGGUAGCGAACGGG